GCGCCAGUAGCUCAAUGGAUAGAGCGUUUGACUACGAAUCAAAAGGUUGGGGGUUCGAGUCCCUCCUGGCGCG
RNAcentral lists this transfer RNA (73 nucleotides) under Candidatus Aminicenantota bacterium. Its description in RNAcentral is "Candidatus Aminicenantes bacterium tRNA-Arg". It matches the Rfam family "tRNA". Rfam says of the family: Transfer RNA (tRNA) molecules are approximately 80 nucleotides in length. The record is from RNAcentral. Lineage: Bacteria; Candidatus Aminicenantota. RNAcentral also lists the same sequence under 1 other name.